Molecule: ribosomal RNA, 253 nt
Filed under: uncultured bacterium
Lineage: Bacteria
Description: partial 16S ribosomal RNA
Rfam family: Bacterial small subunit ribosomal RNA
Source: RNAcentral
UACGGGGGGGGCAAGCGUUGUUCGGAAUUACUGGGCGUAAAGGGCUCGUAGGCGGCCAACUAAGUCAUACGUGAAAUCCCCCGGCUUAACCGGGGAACUGCGUCUGAUACUGGAUGGCUUGAGUUCGGGAGAGGGAUGCGGAAUUCCAGGUGUAGCGGUGAAAUGCGUAGAGAUCAGGAGGAAUACCGAUGGCGAAGGCAGGUCUCUGGGCUGAUACUGACGCUGAGGAGCGAAAGCCAGGGGAGCAAACGGG